AUCCAAAGUGUUGAGUUCAGUUCAGGGCAGCUCCCCUGUUCUGUUCAUUAAACUUUGGGACAUCGGAACACAGGCUGGAGGAGAUGCUUGAAUAGAAAGCAAUGCUCUAUGCGUUUACCUCCCAGUCUACCAAA
Molecule: small nucleolar RNA, 134 nt
Organism: Artibeus jamaicensis (Jamaican fruit-eating bat)
Lineage: Eukaryota; Metazoa; Chordata; Mammalia; Chiroptera; Phyllostomidae
Source: RefSeq, a predicted model, not a curated record